AACGUACGCUGGCGGCACGCCUAACACAUGCAAGUCGAACGAAGUAGCAAUACUUAGUGGCAGACGGGUGAGUAACAUGUAGGUAUCUGCCCUUUGGCCUGGAAUAACACGAGGAAACUUGUGCUAAUACCGGAUAAGUCUUUACGGAGAAAGCUUUAUGCACCAUUGGAUGAGCCUGCACUUGAUUAGUUUGUUGGUGGGGUAAUGGCCUACCAAGACUGUGAUCAAUAGCUGAUUUGAGAGGAUGAUCAGCCACAUUGGGACUGAGACACGGCCCAAACUCCUACGGGAGGCAGCAGUGGGGAAUCUUGCACAAUGGAGGAAACUCUGAUGCAGCGAUGCCGCGUGAGUGAAGAAGGCCCUUGGGUUGUAAAGCUCUUUCGUCGGGGAAGAAAAUGACUGUACCCGAAUAAGAAGGUCCGGCUAACUUCGUGCCAGCAGCCGCGGUAAUACGAAGGGACCUAGCGUAGUUCGGAAUUACUGGGCUUAAAGAGUUCGUAGGUGGUUGAAAAAGUUAGUGGUGAAAUCCCAGAGCUUAACUCUGGAACUGCCAUUAAAACUUUUCAGCUAGAGUAUGAUAGAGGAAAAGCAGAAUUUCUAGUGUACAGGUGAAAUUUCGUAGAUAUUACAAAGAAUACCAAUUGCGAAGGCAGCUUUCAGGAUCAUUACUGACACUGAGGAACGAAAGCAUGGGUAGCGAAGAGGAUUCGAUACCCCUCGUAGUCCAUGCCGUAAACGAUGUGUGUUAGACGUUGGAAAUUUAUUUUCAGUGUCGCAGGGAAACCGAUAAACACACCGCCUGGGGAGUACGACCGCAAGGUUAAAACUCAAAUGAAUUGACGGGGACCCGCACAAGUAGUGGAGCAUGUGGUUUAAUUCGAAGAUACGCGCAGAACCUUACCAACACUUGACAUGUUCGUCGCGACUAUAAGAGAUUAGAGUUUUCGGUUCGGCCGGACGAAACACAGGUGCUGCAUGGCUGUCGUCAGCUCGUGUCGUGAGAUGUUGGGUUAAGUCCCGCAACGAGCGCAACCCUCACUUUUAGUUGCCAUCAUUAAGUUGGGCACUCUGAAAGAACUGCCAGUGAUAAGCUGGAGGAAGGUGGGGAUGACGUCAAGUCCUCAUGGCCCUUACGUGUUGGGCUACACACGUGCUACAAUGGUAUCUACAACAGGAAGCAAAACUGCGAAGUUAAGCAAAUCCCUAAAAGAUACCUCAGUUCGGAUUGCACUCUGCAACUCGAGUGCAUGAAGCUGGAAUUACUAGUAAUCGUGGAUCAGCGUGCCACGGUGAAUGCGUUCCCGGGUCU
Molecule: ribosomal RNA, 1309 nt
Filed under: uncultured bacterium
Lineage: Bacteria
Description: bacterial SSU rRNA
Rfam family: Bacterial small subunit ribosomal RNA
Source: RNAcentral